This 471-nucleotide ribosomal RNA is filed under the name uncultured organism. Its description in RNAcentral is "partial 16S ribosomal RNA". It matches the Rfam family "Bacterial small subunit ribosomal RNA", at positions 334 to 797 of the family's 1533-position model. The record is from RNAcentral.
CACUCCUACGGGAGGCAGCAGUGGGGAAUUUUGGACAAUGGGCGAAAGCCUGAUCCAGCAAUGCCGCGUGCAGGAUGAAGGCCUUCGGGUUGUAAACUGCUUUUGUACGGAACGAAAAAGCUCCUUCUAAUACAGGGGGCCCAUGACGGUACCGUAAGAAUAAGCACCGGCUAACUACGUGCCAGCAGCCGCGGUAAUACGUAGGGUGCGAGCGUUAAUCGGAAUUACUGGGCGUAAAGCGUGCGCAGGCGGUUAUGUAAGACAGAUGUGAAAUCCCCGGGCUCAACCUGGGAACUGCAUUUGUGACUGCAUGGCUAGAGUACGGUAGAGGGGGAUGGAAUUCCGCGUGUAGCAGUGAAAUGCGUAGAUAUGCGGAGGAACACCGAUGGCGAAAGCAAUCCCCUGGACCUGUACUGACGCUCAUGCACGAAAGCGUGGGGAGCAAACAGGAUUAGAUACCCUAGUAGUCCC